GGGAAUGGCUCAGUGGUAGAGCGCUGCCUUGCCAAGGCAGAUGUCGCGAGUUCGAAUCUCGUUUCCC
RNAcentral lists this transfer RNA (67 nucleotides) under mouse gut metagenome. It matches the Rfam family "tRNA". Rfam says of the family: Transfer RNA (tRNA) molecules are approximately 80 nucleotides in length. Their secondary structure includes four short double-helical elements and three loops (D, anti-codon, and T loops). RNAcentral also lists the same sequence under 1 other name. The record is from RNAcentral.